Long non-coding RNA from Ictalurus punctatus (channel catfish), 5574 nucleotides. The record is from Ensembl. Lineage: Eukaryota; Metazoa; Chordata; Actinopteri; Siluriformes; Ictaluridae.
CUCGGCUGGCUACCCCACGUCCCUAGGACGCACCCCAUUUUAUCACCCGUUUUCUUCCUACCGCUCCCCUCAGGAUUACACUCCCACCUGCCCUGUGAAUUCUCAAUAAAAUUACAUGCUGUUCAUACUUAGUCUGUGAACCUCAAUAAACUUACAUGUUAAUCAUACUUGGUCUCCCUCGUGUUUAUUUCAUGCAAUUUUUAUGCACAACAAACUUUUUGCUUAGAUUCAGUGGCAUAUUAAUAAAAACUCUUUAUUUAGCCAAGAAGGUUGGAAAGAUCUUGCAUAAUCCAGUGUAAACACUGGUCUCUUAUUGAACCUUGUGCACUUGGUGGUUUUUGGUCACACAGUUAGAGGAGGCCUGCCUGUGUGUGUGUGUGUGUGUGUGUGUGUGUGUGUGUGUGUGUGUGUUACCAGUCAUUGUGGGUGGAGAAGCUAUUUAUGAGUGCAGACACACUUUUAUGUUUUUAUAACACCUACACUACACUUUCUAAGACAGGUGGUCUGCUAUAUCCUGUUUACAGGUUAAAAGUCUUCCUUUUGUCUGAAAUGGUGGAUUUUGAAGCAUGUUUUGUCCUGUUAUAGAAGUCAGUCUCUUUUCAGAUUCAGUGACAUUACUGAUUGUGUCACAUUUCAUUCCAGAAUUAGCUGGAAUUUACUGGAAUCCAUUCUUCCUUCUACUUGUGCAAUGUUUCCUAUUCCGCUGGCUGCCACACAACCCCUAAGCAUAACCGAUCCACCGUUUUAGUCACUGUGGCCAAAUACUUCUAUUUUUACUUCAUCAGUCUAUAGGACUUGUUUCCAAAAUGCAUUGGGCUUUCUUUUCUGCAUACCUCCGAGAUUGAUAUUUGUGAUGAGAUCAGAGGCAAGGUUUCAUUCUGAAAACUCUUCCAUUCAGAUCAUAUUUUGCUACCACAACUGCAAAAUACGAUCUGAGUAGAAAUGUGCACUACCACUCCUGGGUCAGAUAAACCUUCGUGCAAGUCUUUAUUGCCAUUGGAGGAUUUGCAUAUUGGCAGUUUUAUCUGAGUUUUAUUUGAAUUUUUUUUUAGUCUUCCAACUCUUACUUUGACUUCGAAAGUUCUUCUUAACCGCCAUUUAUUAAUGACAUUUCAGCUAGAAACAUUUUAUAGCCUUCCUCCGUUUUGUAGGCUUCAACUAAAAUAGCUUGAUUUUCAGGUGCUCAGUCAGCUGCUUAGAGGAGCCCGGGGUAGUUUGAAGAGUUAUGACGACGGAAUUGUUAUUACUAAUGACAAGUCUCGACCUGGCUAACAGUUAAUCCCAAUCAGAUAAUUAAGGCCUAACAAGCUCAAGUUCUGAGACCUUACAAGCGGAACUUUUGCGACAUGCCUCAAUUACUGAAUUUGCCCAGGAGUGCCCAAACUUUUGCAUAAAACUGUACGUUUGUUUUGAACACAACAUUUAUUUCUUUACUCUGUAUUAAUGCACUUAACUAGCGAUCCUUAAAUGAUUCGAUAAAAAAAUUAGGUUUCCAGGCAAGCAAAAUAUAGGGGUGUGCAAUCAUACAUGACGCUAUAAUGAGGUGAUGUUUUACCUCACGUACAUAGUGAGUGUGUUUUUUUCCUAUGUAAUACAGACGUGCUGGGUUAGGGUUAGUGUUAGACCCUAAACCUAACCCUAACCCUAACCCUAUGUUAAAAUGAACUAUUACAUAUUAAAAUGAAAACGUUUACAAAACACCUACAUUUUCUAAAGCAUGCGAUCUGCCACAAAAAAAAAAGUUUUCAUUUGUCAAAAAUGACAGAAUAAACAAUUCAUUGUUGUAAAUUUACAUGGACUUUUUGGAUUUUACGCUUCAGUCAUAAAUCCAGUGUUUAUCUUAUUCUCUUACAGGCACAAUUCUAUUUGUUUUGAACACAUCAGUGUAGCGUGAGUGCUACAGAAGUACAACUCGCACUAAUGUGUGAGUUUCACUUUACAAACUCACUAACAUCUAAAAAAAAACAAAAAACAAAACAAAAGAAGAAAACAGAGCCCUUAAUUUUCCAUUAAACCCUGAAAGAACCCCCGAGGAACCCUUUGUUUCUCAGAGCGCGUGUACUGUAUGUAAUAACGAGGUAAGAUUGUGGUACAAACUCCACAUUGUGCUAUAUUAUUUUCUACUUAAUGCACCAAUCCAGUCAGGGGUUUAGUAUUCAGUCAGUUUUCUUCUAGAUUCUUCAGGGUUCUUUAAGGGUUCAAUGGAUAAUUAAGGUUUCCUACUGUAGCUUCCAAAAAAAUUAAAAAAUAAAAAUAAAAAGGCAUUUCUAGGCCUUUUUUUUUUUUUGAGAACAAACAAAAAACAGAGCAAUGAUUUGGAAUUUUGCGCCACAUACUUACACAGUUACUACAUACACUCUUAAAAACAAAACAAAGGAGGGACACCUGAAGAACCCUUAAAGUCUCUAAAUUAGGUUAAGUUCAGACAGAUAAGAUUCAUAUUUCUUUCACAGUAUAGACAGACAUCCACAAGUACAUACUAUUCUAAAGUGUGAUUGUCUUUGCUUUACAAAAAGUCAUUUGGAAAGUCUUAAAGUAUCCAGUAUACAGUCAUCUUGUAGAUACAACAUAUAUAAAAGAGAACAAAAGAGGGCUGUGUUUGCAGUGCCCAGCAGACAUGCAAGUAAAACAAUUUCCUGACAACUGCAAAAGACGAACCAGACCCUUAAAAUAACCGCCUCCAAAACCACAGAUGCACACGUUUCUGUUUCAGGUCGGGUCUUGCAUGCAAACCUACAAGAUGCUAUGAACAUUUAAGUGUCAUAAAGACGUAUAAAGAAAAAUUAUUGAAUUUCAUGAUUUCGUUUGCUUCUGGUCACCUGUGACCUUUUUUCUGCAUGUCCUCGUGUUGUAAUAUAUGUUGCUGUAAAUGGGUUCCUCUGCAAAAUAAAUAAAUAAAUAAUUAAAUAAAUAAAUAAAUAAAAUGAAUGAUAAAACAGCAAAAUCAUACAUUAGGGUUAAAAUGAACACCAGGUGAAGGUGUAAGGGUUAACGGAUUAUUAUCCUCACCCUGAGUCCGACGUUUCCUUCUGCAUUUUAAAACGAUGACUAUCACACCGCCAAGCAGAAGCAAACUUCCGAGUGAUGAGAUGAUAAUCACGAUCUGCACUUUAUUAAGAGCCGGAGGAACUGAAAUGUUAGAAAAUGAGAAAUGAUUCAUGACAAUUAUAGACUUUUUACUUUGGAACAAAUAACAAAGCUACUGCUCAUGUUGUUAAAGCAUUUCUAAAGCAUUUCUUGUGGUGCCAUUUUUAAUGUGAAAAGAAAAUAACUUGCUCCCAAAUAGGGAACGAAUAAGAUAUACAGUGGCUAGAAAAUAAACACACUCCCUUUUAAAAUGUUUACAUUUUGUUUGCAGUUACAACCCCAAUUGGGAAAAAGUUUUAGACAGUAUGGGAAAUGGAAAUAAAAAACAAAGAGGAGUGAUGUGGAAAUGUACUUUGACUUGUAUUUAAACAGAACACGUAUAAAGACGAGGUAUUUGAUUUGUUUUAUCUAAUCAACUUCAUAGUUUUCUGAAGAUAAACGAUUAUUUUGACAUUGAUUCAUGCAAACACGUACGAAAUAUGUUGGGACAGGGGCAGUUUAAGACUAAUAGCGGUGUGAGAAGUUGAAAUAAGAAGGUGAUGUAAAACAAGUGAGGCGAUUGUCUAAUCAUACUAUAUAAGGAGCCUCCAAAAAACUCCUUCAAGAGCGAGGCGGGUCGAGGCUCGCUGAUCUGCCAACAGACGCGUCAGAGAAUAAUCCAAAACUUUGAGAAGAACAUUCCCCAAAGAGAAAUCAGUAGGAUUUUCAGCAUUUCACCUUCUACAGCGCACAAUAUAAUUAAAAGAUUAGAGAAAUCCGGUCAAAUCUGUGUGUGUAAAGGGCGAGGCCGAAAACCACUUCUGAAUGUGCGUGAUCUCCGAUCACUCAGACGUCACUGUCUUAAAAACCCUCAUGAGUCUGUAAUGGAGAUCCUUACAUGGGCUCGGGAAUACUUCGGUAAAGCUUUGUCAUUUGACACCAUUCGCCACUGCAUCCACAGAUGCAAGUUAAAGCUUUGCUAUGUCCAAAACCUCCGCCCACAACUUUUUUGUGUUGCAGUCAUCAGAUUUGAAAUGAGUGUAUAUUUAAAAAAAAAAAUGUAAUUAAAUUCACAAAGUAAAACAUCAAAUAAUGUGUUAAUAAUGUGUUUUCAAUACGACUUUCAAAUGAUCUUUUUCAAACUGUUUUUUUUUUUUUUUUUUUUUUUUUUUUUUAAAAUACUGUCCCAACUUUUUCAGAAUUGGGGUUGUACCGGUCUUUGUGGGUGGCUCUCCACCUGGAUUUUGGAGAUCUCUUUGCAGAACUGUUCAAGCUGGGAUAGGUUAUUUAGUUUUUACUGAUAAACCUUUCCUUGGAUUUUUGAUUGGAUUUAGGUCAGGGAUUUGACUAGCCCACUCCAGAACAUCCACCUUGUUCCUAGCUAGCCACUCUAUGGUGUCUUUGGCUCAUUGUCCUGUUGGAUUAUGAUUUUCCAACUAAGAUUCAUAUGUUCUGCAGAUUUCAUCAGGUUCUUCUCCAGAAUCUCCUUGCAUUCUGCUCCAUCCAUCCUCCCCUCAAUCUUGUCAAGUUCCCAAGUCCAUGCAGAUGAGUAAUAUCCCCACAGCAUUAUGUUGCCACCACUAUGCUUGACAGUUGGGAUGGUGGUAGUUUGAUGAUGGACCAUGUUGGCAUUCAUCUGACCACAAAACCUUCUGCCACUCUCACAAGGCACUGUGUGUGCAGAGCUUGCGUGUUCUCCUCCUGCUUUGGAGGUUUCCUCCGGGUACUCCAGUUUCCUCCCCCAGUCUAAAGACACACUAUGAAGGCUGUCUGGCAUUUCCAGAUUGUCCGUAGUGUGUAAAUGUGUGCGGGAUUGUGCCCUGUAAUGGGUUGGCACCCCAUCCAGGGUGUCCCAAAUCCCCUGGGACAGGCUCCAGUCUCCCCGUGACCCUGUGUAGGAUAAGCGGAUGGAUGGAUGGAUGGAUACGUUGAGUUAAAUGCAAGCUCCUGAUCUUGGAGUUGGUGUGUAUCCAUCUCACUCCAUCUCUCUUUCUGCUGCAAUCCAAUCAUUUUGCCUUAUUGAAAUUGUUCGUCUUGAACGUUAAUCACGAUACCAGAUCACUUUUUACCAGGCAUAACAAUCAGUCCUGUGGAGUAUGGUUCUUCGCUAGUGUUUUAAAUAAUGUUUACCAUCAACCACUUUUGUUCUAGGAACAGCAACACCACUUCCUGUACUUAUGAAUAUUCAUUUGAAGCACUCUACAAUACAUGUAUACAUUACUGCAGCUAUUGAAUCAAAGCUGUUACCUGAUGUAAUGAAUGUGGAGUUAUAAGUAGGGCUCUGUUCUGUAGUUUCUGUAAUGUAAGAGAAAUAAAUGAUAAGUAAAACAGUGCAUGACCUAAAUGAUGUGAUAUGGUGUAGUGGCCACUGGCAAGAACAGUCAAAUCGGUUGGUUUUCCUAGAGUUACGUGAGUGGAAUAGCAAACACAGGCUUUAAAGUCCCAGAAUGCAAAGCAGAUGUACCACGCCGAGUCAUGGCAGAGGAUCGAUUCGGUUACUUAGCAAUC